UCGAUCUCAAAUCAGGUAGGACUACCCGCUGAACUUAAGCAUAUCAAUAAGCGGAGGAAAAGAAACUAACAAGGAUUCCCCUAGUAACUGCGAGUGAAGCGGGAAGAGCUCAAAUUUAAAAUCUGGCGUGCCUCUGGUCGUCCGAGUUGUAGUCUAGAGAAGUGUUUUCCGUGUUGGACCGUGUAUAAGUCUCUUGGAACAGAGCGUCAUAGAGGGUGAGAAUCCCGUCUUUGACACGGACUACCAAUGCUUUGUGAUACACUCUCAAAGAGUCGAGUUGUUUGGGAAUGCAGCUCA
Molecule: ribosomal RNA, 297 nt
Filed under: Tomentella sublilacina
Lineage: Eukaryota; Fungi; Basidiomycota; Agaricomycetes; Thelephorales; Thelephoraceae
Description: partial 28S ribosomal RNA
Rfam family: Eukaryotic large subunit ribosomal RNA
Source: RNAcentral